AUACGGGGGGGCAAGCGUUGUUCGGAAUUAUUAGGCGUAAAGGGCGCGUAGGCGGUCCCGCAAGUCUUUCGUGAAAUCCCACAGCUCAACUGUGGAACUGCGAGGGAAACUGCAGGACUUGAGUCCGGGAGAGGAGAGUGGAAUUCCCAGUGUAGCGGUGAAAUGCGUAGAUAUUGGGAGGAACACCGGUGGCGAAGGCGGCUCUCUGGACCGGUACUGACGCUGAGGCGCGAAAGCUAGGGGAGCAAACGGGAUUAGAAACCCCAGUAGUCC
This 273-nucleotide ribosomal RNA is filed under the name uncultured bacterium. Its description in RNAcentral is "partial 16S ribosomal RNA". It matches the Rfam family "Bacterial small subunit ribosomal RNA", at positions 523 to 796 of the family's 1533-position model. The record is from RNAcentral.